AUGUUGCCUUAAAAAUUCUGACACUUUGUACCAGUUUCAGUCUAUUUGUCUUCCCCCUAUGUAUUUACAAAUGUGAUUUGAUUUGUUUAAAUUGGGUGUUGGGUCAAACUGGGGCGGGAGUGAUUUGAGUGCUUAGAGAAAUUUUCCUAGAGGAGAUGGAACUUGAUCGGGGAGGCCGCAAGCGGGGGGAGCCUUGAAGGUUGAGAAAGACAUUAAUGUCUCAGCAAACUCCAACCUGAGAAUUCAUGGCCAGGUAGCUUUUGGGGGAAGUGAGAGACCCUGGUGCCCAUGAAAAAUAAAAGGUGUCCUCUGUCUUCCCAGAGUUUCACAGACAUGAUGAAUUGUAACAUGCUGUCAAUGGUUCAGAUGACCCGGAUCAUCCUGCCUCAGAUGGUAGUCAGGGGACGACGAGUCAUCAUCAAUAUAUCCUCUAUGGCUGGCAGACAGCCUUCCCCAUUCUUGGCAUCAUAUGGGGCUACUAAGGUUAAUGGGUCCCACAUCUGAAAGAGGCCAGACCCUUUCAAGUUACCAGGAAGAAGAAACAGGUUGAGGCAUGGGGAUGGAAUGAACUGAGUGUCCCAUGUUGAUCUGAGAGCAGUAGGGUGGUGGGAGUGCCCCCUCUAUCCUGGAUUCCCUCAUAGUCAUUGGCCAACCAGCUCUCUCAGUUUCUGUUCUAGUGUAUAUAAACCAGAGAGUAGAUACUAAGCCCUUCACCCCUAUUCACCCACUACCCCUAUGGGUUCAGUAAUUUCAUAAUGGUAGGCCUCACACAGUGGUAAAAUGAAACCAGCCAAAGUCUGAGUGCCCUCUUACCAAGUGGAGCCCCAGGAGCCUCCUGGGAGAUAGCAAUGGAAGCUGAGGUUCACUUUUGCCUUUUGACACUGACAAAGCUUGCCACAUGAAGGAAGGACAGGAGAGUUCAUUAAGCAAAUAUUGACAUCUUGCUCAGUUCUGUGGUGAGCACUGUGGGUAUGGGUACAAGCAAAAUAAACAAUCUUUGCCCUAGGCUUGGGGAAUGGCG
RNAcentral lists this long non-coding RNA (1021 nucleotides) under Phascolarctos cinereus (koala). Its description in RNAcentral is "lncRNA (ENSPCIG00000030642.1)". Lineage: Eukaryota; Metazoa; Chordata; Mammalia; Diprotodontia; Phascolarctidae. The record is from RNAcentral.